ACCUACGGGUGGCAGCAGUGAGGAAUAUUGGUCAAUGGGCGAGAGCCUGAGCCAGCCAAGUCGCGUGAAGGAUGAAGGUUUUAUGAAUUGUAAACUUCUUUUGCAGGGGAAUAAAGUACGGUACGUGUACCGUUUUGUAUGUACCCUGAGAAUAAGGAUCGGCUAACUCCGUGCCAGCAGCCGCGGUAAUACGGAGGAUCCGAGCGUUAUCCGGAUUUAUUGGGUUUAAAGGGUGCGUAGGUGGUUUGAUAAGUCAGCGGUGAAAGUUUGCAGCUUAACUGUAAAAAUGCCGUUGAAACUGUCGGACUUGAGUGUAAAUGAGGUAGGCGGAAUGCGUGGUGUAGCGGUGAAAUGCAUAGAUAUCACGCAGAACUCCGAUUGCGAAGGCAGCUUACUAAGCUACAACUGACACUGAAGCACGAAAGCGUGGGGAUCAAACAGGAUUAGAUACCCUUGUAGUCUAA
RNAcentral lists this ribosomal RNA (464 nucleotides) under uncultured Porphyromonadaceae bacterium. RNAcentral's name for it is "bacterial SSU rRNA". It matches the Rfam family "Bacterial small subunit ribosomal RNA", at positions 337 to 798 of the family's 1533-position model. Lineage: Bacteria; Pseudomonadati; Bacteroidota; Bacteroidia; Bacteroidales; Porphyromonadaceae. The record is from RNAcentral.